GGCCGGUUAGCUCAGUCAGUUGAGCGUGGUGCUGAUAACACUAAGGUCACGGGCUCGAUUCCUGUUCAGUUCC
Molecule: non-coding RNA, 73 nt
Organism: Apaloderma vittatum (bar-tailed trogon)
Lineage: Eukaryota; Metazoa; Chordata; Aves; Trogoniformes; Trogonidae
Source: Rfam